RNAcentral lists this ribosomal RNA (500 nucleotides) under uncultured bacterium. Its description in RNAcentral is "partial 16S ribosomal RNA". It matches the Rfam family "Bacterial small subunit ribosomal RNA", at positions 30 to 523 of the family's 1533-position model. The record is from RNAcentral.
AUUGAACGCUGGCGGCAGGCCUAACACAUGCAAGUCGAGCGGAUGAGUGGAGCUUGCUCCAUGAUUCAGCGGCGGACGGGUGAGUAAUGCCUAGGAAUCUGCCUGGUAGUGGGGGACAACGUUUCGAAAGGAACGCUAAUACCGCAUACGUCCUACGGGAGAAAGCAGGGGACCUUCGGGCCUUGCGCUAUCAGAUGAGCCUAGCUCGGAUUAGCUAGUAGGUGAGGUAAGGGCACACCUAGGCGACGAUCCGUAACUGGUCUGAGAGGAUGAUAAAUAAAACUGAAACGGAGACACGGUCCAGACUCCUACGGGAGGCAGCAGUGGGAAAUAUUGGACAAUGGGCGAAGGCCUGAUCCAGCCAUGCCGCGGGUGUGAAGAAGGUCUUCGGAUUGAAAAGCACUUUAAGUUGGGAGGAAGGGCAGUAAGUUAAUACCUUGCUGUUUUGACGUUACCAACAGAAUAAGCACCGGCUAACUUCGUGCCAGCAGCAGCCGCCG